GCCCCCAUCGACUAGCGGUUCAGGUCACCGCCCUUUCAAGGCGGCGGCACCGGUUCGAAUCCGGUUGGGGGCA
Molecule: transfer RNA, 73 nt
Filed under: Pseudomonadota bacterium
Lineage: Bacteria; Pseudomonadati; Pseudomonadota
Also listed under: 1 other name
Description: tRNA-Glu
Rfam family: tRNA
About the family: Transfer RNA (tRNA) molecules are approximately 80 nucleotides in length. Their secondary structure includes four short double-helical elements and three loops (D, anti-codon, and T loops). Further hydrogen bonds mediate the characteristic L-shaped molecular structure. tRNAs have two regions of fundamental functional importance: the anti-codon, which is responsible for specific mRNA codon recognition, and the 3' end, to which the tRNAs corresponding amino acid is attached (by aminoacyl-tRNA synthetases). tRNAs cope with the degeneracy of the genetic code in two manners: having more than one tRNA (with a specific anti-codon) for a particular amino acid; and 'wobble' base-pairing, i.e. permitting non-standard base-pairing at the 3rd anti-codon position.
Source: RNAcentral